AGGGACUGAGUUUAAUUCGCUCCUUUUCCUGUCACUCCUGCUCCCGCUCGUCCUCCCUCUGGCUCUUCCUCCCUCUGGCUCUUCCUCCCUCUGGCUCUUCCUCCCUCUGGCCUCGAGGGCGAAAGAUCGGCUUCUCCUGUCCGGCGUCACUCCUUACAUUUCCUUCCCAAACUCUACAAACCGGUUCAAUCAGCAAGGACACGCUGUGACGCAGGCUUUUCCUCUUGGCAACAUGCACCAGCUUGCGAUGUGACGUUGAGGGAAACAGGCAUAUGAAGAUGUCAUGCCCGGGCCCUUGGUUCCCCACACCAUUAUGGAAAUGUUUUUCUCCAAUUGCAGUACAGUUUCCGACAUCGGCAUUGUGCACCCACAGGAGGGACUGACACACUUCACAAAACAGAUAGCAUCAUGAGGAAGGAUUGAAGCAACAUCUCAAGAUCAGUCAGGAAGUUAAAGCUUGGUCGCAAAUGGGUCUUCCAAAUGGACAAUGACCCCAAGCAUACUUCCAAAGUUGUGGCAAAAUGGCUUAUGGACAACAAAGUCAAGGUAUUGGAGUGGCCAUCACAAAGCCCUGACCUGAAGGCUAUAGAAAAUUUGUGGGCAGAACUGAAAAAGCAUGUGCAUGCAAGGAGACCUACAAACCAGCUCUGUCAGGAGGAAUGGGCCAGAAAUCACCUAACUUAUUGUGGGAGGCUACCCGAAACGUUUGAGUUAAACAAUUUAAAG
This is a long non-coding RNA of Oncorhynchus masou masou (cherry salmon), 726 nucleotides long. RefSeq lists it as uncharacterized. The transcript has 3 exons. NCBI's taxonomy places the organism in Eukaryota, Metazoa, Chordata, Actinopteri, Salmoniformes, Salmonidae. The record is from RefSeq and is a predicted model, not a curated record.